Molecule: long non-coding RNA, 139 nt
Organism: Nematolebias whitei (Rio pearlfish)
Lineage: Eukaryota; Metazoa; Chordata; Actinopteri; Cyprinodontiformes; Rivulidae
Exons: 3
Source: RefSeq, a predicted model, not a curated record
GUACUCAUCUCCCAGAGUUUCAGCACAAAGCAGUGGAAAGAUUUGUGUGUGGGAGAUGUGCUGCGGAUCCACAAAGACCAAGUCAUCCCUGCAGAUGUUCUUCUUCUAUGCAGUUCAGAGCCUCACAGUCUGUGUUAUG